Molecule: long non-coding RNA, 4813 nt
Organism: Ictalurus punctatus (channel catfish)
Lineage: Eukaryota; Metazoa; Chordata; Actinopteri; Siluriformes; Ictaluridae
Exons: 4
Source: RefSeq, a predicted model, not a curated record
CAUGCUUUUCUCCACUAGAAAAAUUUGGGGCUUGGGGGGAUCUGGGCUUCAGCUACAAUUCAAAAGUGACUUUAGACCUUUUCAAACCCUAUUCCUGGACUCCUACAGAUAUUUUCUUUGUUGCAUUUGUGGUGUCCACAUAUCACAAAAAGCAUCCAAUAGUUCUGACUGGUGACUCUGGUGUAUUUUAACACAGUGAGAGGAUCAUUGCACUGGCAGCAUACAUAUGUGGGUUUAGGAGAAUAAUAAUUUCAAUCUCUGCAUCUAUCAUUAUUUUAAGAACCAAACAGGCAAUCAGCCUCAAAAAGCACAGUUGUUUUUAGAUCCUUACCUACAAAAGUAUUCUUACCCUAAAAAGUAAACCAAUAUAAGGAUAAACCAACAAUGGCUGCAGUCAGAUAAUACGAGUUGUGCAUUAAUGACAUUACGCCACUAGGACAAUAUUGAGUACUUGAACAGCAUUCACUUUACUUAUAUAUUCAAUAUCUGUGCCAUCAUAGCAAAGAUAAGUCUAUAAUUAUUAUUCAUCACUUUUAAAAGAACAAUCAAGACUGCCUUUAAAGCAUGGGCCUUGUAACAGCAUUUGAAGGCAAUUCCUGAUGAUGUAAUGAGCUGUUUAUGUGCAAUAAAUAUUCCAGUUUUUGCACAUAAUCCAACACAAUGUCUGUUUUUGGUGUUGUGAUGAAGUUUUAUGUGCAAUAAACGAUUGCAAGAUAUCCAUUUUAUUUUUAAAUAGGUCCAUCUGUGGUAGCUAUUGAAAUAGGCAUCCACACAUCCCUGAAAAAUGCAUCACACUACUUUUGGGUCAGUGUGGCUCUAAGUCAGCCUCAUUAUACAAGACUACACAGCACUUCCUUGAGACAGAUUUUGAAAAUGUACUGUAUUUCUAUAAUAUAAAGUCAAUGAAAACUGCAUUUGAUUUUCUCUGUAAGCCAAGAAAUCUCUAAAUUAUACUGAAAAAAUAGUAAUUACAACUUACUCGUAGUAUUUUUAAUCUUCCUCUUCAUAUACACUUCAUCUUCAUAUAUCCCUGCACUGCUAAAAUAACACUCAAGGACCUCCAAAGCUCUGUUGCAGCAACAUGCACAUUUUUGUUGGCGUGAAUGCUCCUACCAGGUUGACACGAAGGAAGAUAAACAUUUGAAAAGGCCCCUGGGGGUGAGUGGCCUGUAGAGACACCUGCAUCCAACACAAUAGAGUCGUAUUGGCUAAAUAUGGACAAAGGAAACAGCAGAGAGCAUCAGACUCCAAAGUGCACAUCAGACAGAGAUGGGAAAGAGUGAGAAAGAGAAAAACAAAUUGAAUUUCUCUAGUGGAGAAAAGGAUGUUAUAAAUAAAUUCUCAGAUACAUGACCAAAUGUUACGUGAUUUAAACAGAUGUGUGCAAAACAGACAUUAUUUGCACAGUAAGAAAGAAAGAAAGAAAGAAAGAAAGAAAGAAAGGUAAAGAAAAAAGAAGUUAAUAGUUGACAUGGUCUGGACCUGACAUGUUGAAGAUGUCUUUCAUACUAUACUCUGAACCUGUCUACACUCGUCCUUCCAGCUGCUGACAGAGUAGCUGCAACACACACAUUCCUUAGAGGAAGCAAAGGAGGGCAAGGAGGCUGAGAGAGAAAAUGAAAAACCAAACGAUCACUAAAAACAAGACUAUCGCUGAUAUCACAAGAUAUUACUGAUUUUCUAGUAAUAUCACUGAUAUUUCUUAAAAAAAAAAAAAAAAAAGUGUAACAAAACCAGUACGGAGGAGAUUUAAUGAGAAUUAGAGAGAGUUGGGAACAGACUGUAGGCUUCUUGAGGCGCCACCAGCAGCCUAUAAUUGGCUACUAUUGGUUGAAGUUUCAGGAAUAAAGGCAGCCCUAAGCGAUGCAUAGGAUGCUAAUGAAUGAAAAUGCUCGAUCUCUGCUAAGAAGGCCCUCAAUGAUUAAAGAGACCAGGCAGAUUUUUAAAAAUGAUGGGAAACGGUUGAAAAGGCUGGGACAUUGGUAUAAGACUUGGGAAUUUAAAAAUUUCAUCUUUUAUUUAAUAAGAAUUUAAAAGGAAAUUGGAGCAAUGUGUUUUAGCCAAUGGGACAGGAAUGACAGCUGCCUAUGGAAUUUAAAUAGUAUGAUUAUUAGAUUAGUGCAAGGGUGAAGAUGCCUUCACACAUACAGUGAUUUUAUUGCUGCUAGUCGCCAGUCACUGUAUUAUGAAGACGACAGUAGACAUUCCUACUGCUGGUUGCCAUAGUAACAUGGGUGGCGCAACUAGCAUUCAACUUUUGACAACAAACCAGUUUUCUUGUUGGGAGCCGGACCGCAGCUCUUUGGCCGUGGCCUCUGUGUUUCCUGGGUGAAGUUCCUGGGUGCUGAAGCAGUGACAAGCCAGACACUUCACCCAAGACAGGAGCUACACUAGGAUUUUACUUGAUUACAACAAAAAGAAGGGGAAAAGUGUUUGGGGGAAACGCUGACAAAGAAAAAGAGAGACAGGGGCAGAGAGAUAUGAUAUCAGAACAACCAUCACAAAACUUGGAGAAAAUGAGAUGCAUUGAGACUGGAGAGGGGACAGAUUGAUGGUACUGUCAGGUGCAUUCAGAAGACCUGGAUUAUUUAAGAAGGUCCAAGCCAAUAGGCUAAACAUAUACUGGGUAAAAUAGGAAGCCAUCACACAUGCAGAGGCACAGAAGGGACAGCCCCGUGUCAAAACCAACGGUGACCAGAAAGCACGUGACAGUGGGGCGGAGCUGCCGUCACACCUCCAGCCAGUGAUUGGUGCGCCGAUCAGAAAAAAAAAAAUCCACCAUACAGCAGACGAGGGAAGAGUAUAAGAGGCCACUCUUUCUCUCAUCCGGAGAGAAGUAUCUCUUAUGACAUGCGCGCGUCGCUUCUCCCCAAUACCCGUCAAUACCCGGAGCGGGGCUAUCACCGUAACCUGCAUCCAUGGGGAUACCCGGGAAGUUCCUGCGGCCGAGGUCCAGAUCCAGAGUAAAGCUGGGGUCUGGCCCCUCCAAGCUGGCGUUAUUCCCGAUCUCCCGGUGCCCCUGCUCCUCGGAAGAGACUGGCCAGGGUUCCCGACUGACCCAGCGCUAGGGUCCGGCAAAGCACCUCAGCGCACGAAGGAGAGCUGAGCCCAGCAGGCCUACUUGGCACAGGACGACGGGGACACCACCGCGGAAGGUAAGCUGCACAUACAUUCUAACUCAAUGUCGUCAGUAUUUCACCAGGUGUACCGGCAGGGGAAUUUUGGACAGGAGCAGAAGGAGGACGACUGCCUGAAAAACUGCUGGGCCCAGGUGCGAGUGAUAGAGGGGAUCGACCAGGACCCUAACUGGAGGCUUCCCUCCUCCUACUUCCUUAUCCGGGGUGGCCUAGUCUAUCAAUGGGCCUGCCGCCAAGGGGAGCAGGUAGACCUGUCUACUUCCCCAGGAAUGACCCAGCUGGUACACCACAAAAUCAAAACCCCACCAGGAGUGGUGGUGCUGCAGCGGCCCCAUCGGGUCCCGGAGGCCCGCCGCCAGGCUAUAGAGGAGGAAGUUGGCUGGAUGCUGCGAGAUAACAUCUAAGCCUGAUGGAAGCAUGCAGCUGUGCAAUGACUUCCGGAAGCUGAACCAGGUUUCGGAAUUCGACAGCUAUCCCCUCCCUCUAGUGGACGACCUAGUGGAGCGGCUGGGGAGGGCCCGCUUUAUAUCCACCAUGGACCUGACCAAGGGAUACUGGCAAGUCGCCCUAGCCCCAGAGGCGAGACCAAAAGGCGGCCUUCAGCACGGCGAACGGCCACUGGCAAUACCGGAGGAAGGUCUGAAGGAGCUCCGGAAGGCCGGGCUGACCGCCAACCCCAAAAAGUGUCACUUGGGGCUGACCGAGGCACAGUAUCUCGGGUACCGUAUUGGCCGGGGCUUGCUCAAGCCCCAGACCCACACACACUCACACACACACACACACACACACACACAGACACACAGCUCCUCACCCCUAAAAGGAAAAAGCAAAGAAAAUAAAAGCAAACUUCCCUGACCACCUGACAAACGGCCUCCUGUGUGUCUGUGCUCCGCCCCUCACAGGCUAUUUCCCUACAACAGUAAAAGUAAUUGUGUUAAUAAUUACUUGAGUAAGAGUAAUUUAGUAUCCAAUGAGAAGACACAAGUAGCAAGUUACUAGUUACUUCGGAUCUGAUUAAAAUGAAGGGAAAAUCAUGAAUCUCAGACUACUUGGAGAACUGUAAGUUAAACCUUUCCUUGAAAGUUUGUCUCUGCUGUUUAUAUGAUAUAAAACCUUGGUUCAAGAUGAAGCAGCAUAUCCCAGUCCUAUGAUGGGUACAAUAAUACACAACCUGUCAUUGUCAACACAAAAUCUCUCUCACACACACCAAAAAUUUUCCCAACAGAAAAUUUUACAACCACAUGUUAAGAACACAAACUUGUCAGCAUCUGCAUUUAAACAAGACAACAGAGAACAAAAGAAGAGACUAUGGAACAGAAGAAAAAGUGUGUGUUAGUAUGUAUGUUUGUGUGUUUGUGUGUGUGUGUGUGUGUGUGUGUGUGUCCUGCCUCCACCGACACACUGGCUUCUUCCCCCUCUCCACUACUGAGCUACUGAAAAAGUGAGUGGUUGUUGUGUCUGCAUUCAGACCACUGAAGCAUAUCUAGAGAGACUCGACCUCGUUAUACGUGACAUAAACGAAUCAUUAAAACUACAUAUAUUCAUUAACAUUUAACAGUAAUGGAGGAGUGAAUGUAAUGCCAUUGAAUGUAGAGAAGUAAAAGUACAUUUCUGUGAUUAAAAAUGAACUUCAGUAAUAGUGUAUGUAUGGCCAAUUAAACCUACUCGUAAAAGUA